Molecule: long non-coding RNA, 211 nt
Filed under: Elaeis guineensis (African oil palm)
Lineage: Eukaryota; Viridiplantae; Streptophyta; Magnoliopsida; Arecales; Arecaceae
Description: long non-coding RNA (EGUI_LNC069992)
Source: RNAcentral
UACUCAAGCCGAUGCUGAUUUGGCGAAGGCAGAAGCGGAGUCGGCAAGGGAGGCAUUGAGUCGGGCAAUCAAAAAUUUUUGAAGUUUGAAAGAAUUCAAAGAAGAGAUCCUCGAAGGUGGCUUCCACUCGUACUGCAUCGGAUAUGAAGACGGUCGAGAUGCGAUCAGAAAAUUAUAUCCGAACCUCGACUUGAGCAGCAUCGUCCCUCCA